This 253-nucleotide ribosomal RNA is filed under the name uncultured bacterium. RNAcentral's name for it is "partial 16S ribosomal RNA". It matches the Rfam family "Bacterial small subunit ribosomal RNA", at positions 524 to 776 of the family's 1533-position model. The record is from RNAcentral.
GACAGAGGUCCCGAGCGUUAGGCGGAAUCACUGGGCUUAAAGCGUGUGUAGGCGGAUCGUUAAGUGCCUUGUGAAAUCCCACGGCUUAACCGUGGAACUGCUUGGCAUACUGGCGGUCUUGAGCCACUUAGGGGCAACCGGAACAAAUGGUGGAGCGGUGAAAUGCGUAGAUAUCAUUUGGAACGCCAAUGGUGAAAACAGCUCGCUGGGGGUUUGCUGACGCUGAGACGCGAAAGCGUGGGGAGCAAACAGG